Molecule: ribosomal RNA, 548 nt
Filed under: uncultured Glomus
Lineage: Eukaryota; Fungi; Glomeromycota; Glomeromycetes; Glomerales; Glomeraceae
Description: SSU rRNA
Rfam family: Eukaryotic small subunit ribosomal RNA
Source: RNAcentral
UUGGAGGGCAAGUCUGGUGCCAGCAGCCGCGGUAAUUCCAGCUCCAAUAGCGUAUAUUAAAGUUGUUGCAGUUAAAAAGCUCGUAGUUGAAUUUCGGGAUCAAUAUGCCGGUCAUGCCUUGGUAUGCACUGGUAUCUUUGAUUUCUCCCUUCUGACGAACUUUGAUGUCAUUAAUUUGGUGUCAUAGGGAAUCAGGACUGUUACUUUGAAAAAAUUAGAGUGUUUAAAGCAAGCUCACGCUUGAAUACAUUAGCAUGGAAUAAUGAAAUAGGACGUUUGAUUCUAUUUUGUUGGCUUCUAGGAUCGACGUAAUGAUUAAUAGGGAUAGUUGGGGGCAUUAGUAUUCAAUUGUCAGAGGUGAAAUUCUUGGAUUUAUUGAAGACUAACUACUGCGAAAGCAUUUGCCAAGGAUGUUUUCAUUAAUCAAGAACGAAAGUUAGGGGAUCGAAGACGAUCAGAUACCGUCGUAGUCUUAACCAUAAACUAUGCCGACUAGGGAUCGGAUGAUGUUAAUUUUUUAAUGACUCAUUCGGCGCCUUACGGGAAAC